Molecule: transfer RNA, 77 nt
Filed under: Pigmentibacter ruber
Lineage: Bacteria; Pseudomonadati; Bdellovibrionota; Oligoflexia; Silvanigrellales; Silvanigrellaceae
Also listed under: 2 other names
Description: tRNA-Glu
Rfam family: tRNA
About the family: Transfer RNA (tRNA) molecules are approximately 80 nucleotides in length.
Source: RNAcentral
GACCCUUUCGUCUAGCAGGUCAAGGACAUCAUCCUUUCACGAUGGGAACAUGGGUUCAAAUCCCGUAAGGGUCACCA